RNAcentral lists this ribosomal RNA (218 nucleotides) under Vibrio parahaemolyticus. RNAcentral's name for it is "partial 23S ribosomal RNA". It matches the Rfam family "Bacterial large subunit ribosomal RNA", at positions 1628 to 1830 of the family's 2925-position model. The record is from RNAcentral. Lineage: Bacteria; Pseudomonadati; Pseudomonadota; Gammaproteobacteria; Vibrionales; Vibrionaceae.
CAGAUUGUAAGGAAUCGUACCCCAAACCGACACAGGUGGUCGGGUAGAGAAUACCAAGGCGCUUGAGAGAACUCGGGUGAAGGAACUAGGCAAAAUGGUACCGUAACUUCGGGAGAAGGUACGCUCUUGAUGGUGAAGUCCCUUGCGGAUGGAGCUGACGAGAGUCGCAGAUACCAGGUGGCUGCAACUGUUUAUUAAAAACACAGCACUGUGCAAAA